UACAGAGGGUGCAAGCGUUGUUCGGAAUUACUGGGCGUAAAGCGCGCGUAGGCGUCCUGUUAAGUCGAACGUGAAAUCCCCGGGCUCAACCCGGGAACUGCGUCCGAUACUGGCAGGCUUGAAUUCGGGAGAGGGAUGCGGAAUUCCAGGUGUAGCGGUGAAAUGCGUAGAUAUCUGGAGGAACACCGGUGGCGAAGGCGGCAUCCUGGACCGAGAUUGACGCUGAGGCGCGAAAGCCAGGGGAGCAAACGGG
RNAcentral lists this ribosomal RNA (253 nucleotides) under uncultured bacterium. RNAcentral's name for it is "partial 16S ribosomal RNA". It matches the Rfam family "Bacterial small subunit ribosomal RNA", at positions 524 to 776 of the family's 1533-position model. The record is from RNAcentral.